AAUGGACGGAAGUCUGAACCAGCCAUGCCGCGUAGAGGAUUAAGGCCUCUGGGUUGUAAACUUCUUUUAUUAGGGAAGAAAGCACGGUUUCUACUGUGUCCGACGGUACCUAAUGAAUAAGCACCGGCUAACUCCGUGCCAGCAGCCGCGGUGAUACGGAGGGUGCAAGCGUUAUCCGGAUUUACUGGGUUUAAAGGGUGCGUAGGCGGACAUUUAAGUCAGAGGUGAAAUCUCCGAGCUCAACUCGGAAACUGCCUUUGAUACUAUUUGUCUUGAAUUUCGUUGAGGUUGGCGGAAUAUAUCAUGUAGCGGUGAAAUGCAUAGAUAUGAUAUAGAACACCGAUUGCGAAGGCAGCUAGCUAAACGAACAUUGACGCUGAGGCACGAAAGCGUGGGGAGCGAACAGGAUU
RNAcentral lists this ribosomal RNA (410 nucleotides) under uncultured Gammaproteobacteria bacterium. Its description in RNAcentral is "bacterial SSU rRNA". It matches the Rfam family "Bacterial small subunit ribosomal RNA", at positions 370 to 779 of the family's 1533-position model. Lineage: Bacteria; Pseudomonadati; Pseudomonadota; Gammaproteobacteria. The record is from RNAcentral.